AAUAGAUCAACUAACUUUACUAACUCAUCACACACAUUAUAAUGUAAGUAGGUACAAUUAUUGUUACUUCUGGAGUCGGUGUCAGCCAACUAAGAUAGGUUUGUUAUUUACCUAUUAUCACAACAAAUCAUUACAGUUUUACACCAAUUGUAAGUAGGUACUUAACCACCACUCCGCCCGUGCCGUGCUAGUUGUUGGCGUUUCCCAGGCUGACACCGACUCCAAAAAUAACAAUAAUUGUAGGGGAAGUCAGCUCAAAGCGGCCAUAGGAGGCAAAGCGGCCACUCCUAAUUUUUCGGUUAUUUGAAAUGAUAGCGCAACAUUGCCGUUCUGUACGUAUAACCAAACCUCCCGCCCCGCGCCAGUCACUCAUUUUCAGGAAGGAGAACGAACGCGUGGUUCUAGUAACGACAAAUAUGUUUUUGUGCGUUUUGUUAAAAUAAUACGAGAUGGUCAAUAACUACAAGAGAAAAACAGCGCAGGCUUCUUGGGACGAAGCUGCGAUGCCCCGAGCCAUUAAAGAGGUCACAGAAAAGCGUAAGUCAGUUAAAUCUGUGUCAAUAUAAUACGGUAUCCCUCGCACAACGCUGAGAAGGCACCUGGAUCUGCCAUAAAAAAACUUGGCAGAUUUACCACAGUGUUUACACCACAACAGGAACAAGGCGUCUUAGAGUACUUGUUUCAUAUGGACAACCUCUUUUUUGGCCUCACAAAGGAAGAUUUUUUGCAGCUUGUGUUUCAAUAUGCUGAAUCAAACCAUAUUCCACAUCCUUUUGAAAAUGAAACGGUUGGACACGAUUUUUAUAAAGGCUUCAUCAUGCGUCAUCCUAAUUUAACCUUGCGACAACCAGAACCCACAUCCAUAGCCAGAGCUCGAGGCUUCAACAAAUCCCAAGUAUAUCGAUUUUUAUAAAUUACUUUUAUGACUGACUGUGAUUAAAAUAGGUAAAAUGUUGUUGAUUUUUUUUAUGUGAAUUAUAUGUGUUGAUUUUUGA
Molecule: long non-coding RNA, 995 nt
Organism: Spodoptera frugiperda (fall armyworm)
Lineage: Eukaryota; Metazoa; Arthropoda; Insecta; Lepidoptera; Noctuidae
Exons: 2
Source: RefSeq, a predicted model, not a curated record